GACGAACGCUGGCGGCGUGCUUAACACAUGCAAGUCGAGCGGUAAGGCCCCUUCGGGGGUACACGAGCGGCGAACGGGUGAGUAACACGUGAGCAAUCUACCCAUCACAUCGGGAUAACUCCGGGAAACCGAAGCUAAUACCGAAUACGACCACCUCAGGCAUCUGAUGGUGGUGGAAAGUUCCGGCGGUGAUGGAUGAGCUCGCGGCCUAUCAGCUUGUUGGUGGGGUAACGGCCCACCAAGGCUUCGACGGGUAGCCGGCCUGAGAGGGUGACCGGCCACACUGGGACUGAGACACGGCCCAGACUCCUACGGGAGGCAGCAGUGGGGAAUAUUGGACAAUGGGCGAAAGCCUGAUCCAGCAACGCCGCGUGAGGGAUGACGGCCUUCGGGUUGUAAACCUCUUUCAGCAGGGACGAAGCGAAAGUGACGGUACCUGCAGAAGAAGCACCGGCCAACUACGUGCCAGCAGCCGCGGUAAUACGUAGGGUGCGAGCGUUGUCCGGAAUUAUUGGGCGUAAAGGGCUCGUAGGCGGUCUGUCGCGUCGGGAGUGAAAACUCAGGGCUUAACCCUGAGCCUGCUUCCGAUACGGGCAGACUAGAGGUAUGCAGGGGAGAAUGGAAUUCCUGGUGUAGCGGUGAAAUGCGCAGAUAUCAGGAGGAACACCGGUGGCGAAGGCGGUU
Molecule: ribosomal RNA, 684 nt
Filed under: uncultured Actinomycetes bacterium
Lineage: Bacteria; Bacillati; Actinomycetota; Actinomycetes
Description: bacterial SSU rRNA
Rfam family: Bacterial small subunit ribosomal RNA
Source: RNAcentral